This 253-nucleotide unclassified non-coding RNA is filed under the name uncultured bacterium. RNAcentral's name for it is "contains 16S-23S intergenic spacer region". It matches the Rfam family "Bacterial small subunit ribosomal RNA", at positions 524 to 776 of the family's 1533-position model. The record is from RNAcentral.
UACGAGGGGUGCAAACGUUAUUCGGAUUGACUGGGCGUAAAGGGUGCGUAGGUGGCAUUUUAAGUCUGUUGUUAAAUCUUUUGGCCUAACCAAAAGGUCGCGAUGGAUACUGAAGUGCUAGAGGGCAGAAGAGAGAAGUGGAAUUCUCGGAGUAGCGGUAAAAUGCGUAGAUCUCGAGAGGAACACCGAUGGCGAAGGCAGCUUCUUGGUCUGCUUCUGACACUGAGGCACGAAAGCGUGGGUAGCAAACAGG